This 261-nucleotide ribosomal RNA is filed under the name uncultured bacterium. RNAcentral describes it as "partial 16S ribosomal RNA". It matches the Rfam family "Bacterial small subunit ribosomal RNA", at positions 793 to 1055 of the family's 1533-position model. The record is from RNAcentral.
GUCCACGCCGUAAACGAUGUCGACUUGGAGGUUGUUCCCUUGAGGAGUGGCUUCCGGAGCUAACGCGUUAAGUCGACCGCCUGGGGAGUACGGCCGCAAGGUUAAACUCAAAUGAAUUGACGGGGCCCGCACAAGCGGUGGAGCAUGUGGUUUAAUUCGAUGCAACGCGAAGAACCUUACCUACUCUUGACAUCCAGAGAACUUAGCAGAGAUGCUUUGGUGCCUUCGGGAACUCUGAGACAGGUGCUGCAUGGCUGUCGU